AUCACUGGCAUUAUGUAUGUGACAAUUCUCUUAGAAGCAUCAUUGCUACUCAAAUUAUUACAGAUUCUUAUAACAAGGCACAUGCCUGAUAAAAUGCAAACUUUUAUUAGUUCCUUUACCAACCUUUCAGCAUAUUAGACAUGACUGACAUUGUAACUUAAAACUUGUCAGGAACAAUAGAAGAUAUUCAGAGCAUGGGUUUGAGUGGAGAAGUCCACAAAGCUGUGCUGUUGUUUUCUUGCAGCAGUCUGACAAUACCUUAAUGAACUCUGGCCUUAAGCUCAGACUCUGACAACACACCAAAACAUAAUCAUUCUUGAAGGUGAGCUUGAAAUUCCACCCAAAUAUUUCUGCAGCAAUUUGUCCCUGGGACUUUGCAUGAAUCACAUUCAGCCCAAGUACUCACAGCUGCAGGUGACAGAGCACGAUGGCUGACCUCUAUCAGGAUAUUUGUUCCUCCAUCACAUGUUUCCAGCAGUUUAUGGAUGACAGAUAAGCAGUGCUCAGGAGUCCCUGCCAAGCUCUGUACACCUGACAAGUAUGAAAAGGACACAGAAGAAAACUUGGAAGCAAGCAGGAUCUUGCCGUACAAAACCUUCCUAAAAAUCAGGUUUGUUCACUAUAGCUAAAAAUAGAAGAUGCCCUCACUUUGGUAAAGGAAUCCUCAGAGAACCUGAGCAAGGCAGUCAGACUGCACGUCUGCACAAGUUCCUGAAAAGAGCUGUGGGAAGAAACCAUGAAAAAUAGUUUACAAGCACCUGCAGAAGCUAGGUAGAGAUGGCCACAAAAAUUUGUGGCUAAAACCAGCUGACAAAACACAAGCCCCCAAGGGAGUUGCCAGCUCUGGAACAUGAGAUGUUGCACUAGCAUCCAUUUCCCACCUCCUCCAGAAAGAAGAGACAAGGGGGAUACAAGUACAGGACUUCAGCAGGAAACACAUAAACCAGAACGCCACUCAGAGGAGUAUGUUAAGUUCUUCUGUAGACCAAGACAUCCUGACUGCUACUUUUUUGAUACCUGGAUACACAGCUCAUGUGUCUGGUUGCUCCUAUGAAUAUCCAGGCUGGUAAGUUUUCACAGUGAAGGGAGAAGAACCUGUUCUUUAUGUUCAUGUAGUUUGAAUGAAAAUACCAUGAAUGAAAUACAUCUGAUUGAUAAGGAUAUUAUUAAUUUUUUUUAAUAUAAAAGAUCAUGAGGAAGGAGAGGGAAAGACUUAGUCACCAUCCAUUACUUUAUUAAGUGCUGCAGAAAAAAAAAGACACAUUGUACUGUUAUUUUCUGUCUCCUGAUUUGUUAACUUGAGUUAAUUUUAUUCGCUCUUGAGUAGAUUUUCCACAGCUGUCUCCUUUUACACUUGAUCUUCCUGCUUGAUACAGUCCCAUCACAGGCAGACCCAGCACACAUGCUGUUCAGCUGCUGUGUGUGUCCUUCAGUCCUCUUUAAUUGGUGCACAGUUUGCACUCUGUACAGGGAUUCCACAAGGACAGAAUUUGUGCAGGCAAGGUGCCAGACCGCUGUUCCCUGGAAAGGCAGAUGUUCCGUCCCAGCGGUCGCGUGGCUGGCACGGUCCUGCCGAGGGAGCACAGCAGAGAUCUGUGCCUCCCUCUCAAAUCACACACACAGCUACUGCCCCGCCAAGUUAACUGCCUCCGAUUUUUGAAGUGAGCUGGUUUUUUUUGCCAUUCAUUUGGAAAUAAUUUGAAAGCAAAACAAGCAAAGCACAUCAAAAUAACUGCAACCCUGGGUAAAAAGGGAAAAGAACUCUACCGAGGCUUAGAACACCUUGUAAAUUGCUUCUCAUGAAAGACACACACAGCAAAACGCUGUCAUCUGAAUUUAAAAAAAAAAAGUAUGAUGAUUGUGCUUGUUAAUUGUGUUUGUUUUCUUAUGACUAAUUUAUUUAGACAAUUGAGAAAGCUAAAGCAUUUGAACUGAUUUUCCAUUUGUUUGGCUAUUAAAGUUCCUCUGUGAAAUGUAUGUUUACUUAAAGCAUCUCCAGCUACCCAUUUACAAUGUAUUUGCUAAAUUAGUUAAGAGACUUUAAUUGGGCACUGGGGAUUUGUUGUGUUAUUCCCAAUUCUGUUUACUAAAAAUACAUGAGAACAGUGAGCAAUUUAUUUAUAACCUUGUUAUAUGAGGCCAUUACCAACAUCAGAUUUUUUUCUUAACUUAUUUUUAAUUUGCAUUGACAGAAUUCAAGUCAUGUUUGCUUUUCUUUCUGUUUUUGUUAGUGCAGCCUAAAAACUGUUGCUAGUUAAAUACAAUGGAACCACAUAUUUUAUUUGGAACAGUUUUCAUAAUAUUUGGAACAGCGAUCAUAGAUGUGGACCCCCUCCAAAAAAGCAACAAUAUUGAAUCACCAUAAGAGAAUGCUGUCUUUCUUUUGCAUCCCAUUAAGGUAAAUAGUUUGAGAAGGUAAAUAUAUUUGAGGUUAAAAAUGCACUGUGCUUCAUUGGCAUUAUCAUCAAAUAGACACUUCCUUAUUUUGAUCCCAUCCUUGCCGUUUCAUACCAAUUACAAUACAACAAACCAAUAAAACUCCUAUGGCAGGACUUUGGUUCCAGUGCCCCUCUG
This is a non-coding RNA of Zonotrichia albicollis (white-throated sparrow), 2574 nucleotides long. The record is from RefSeq and is a predicted model, not a curated record. Lineage: Eukaryota; Metazoa; Chordata; Aves; Passeriformes; Passerellidae.